AUUGAACGCUGGCGGCAGGCGUAACACAUGCAAGUCGAGCGGAGUGAUGGUGCUUGCACUAUCACUUAGCGGCGGACGGGUGAGUAAUGCUUAGGAAUCUGCCUAUUAGUGGGGGACAACAUCUCGAAAGGGACGCUAAUACCGCAUACGUCCUACGGGAGAAAGCCGGGGCUCACUUGUGACCUUGCGCUAAUACAGGAGCCUAGGUCGGACUAGCUAGGUGGUGGGGUAAAGGCCUACCAAGGCGACGAUCUGUAGCGGGUCUGAGAGGAUGAUCCGCCACACUGGGACUGAGACACGGCCCAGACUCCUACGGGAGGCAGGAGUGGGGAAUAUUGGACAAUGGGGGGAACCCUGAUCCAGCCAUGCCGCGUGUGUGAAGAAGGCCUUAUGGUUGUAAAGCACUUUAAGCGAGGAGGAGGCUCUUUUGGUUAAUACCCAAGAUGAGUGGACGUUACUCGCAGAUUAAGCACCGGCUAACUCUGUGCCAGCCGCCGCCGUAA
RNAcentral lists this ribosomal RNA (503 nucleotides) under uncultured bacterium. RNAcentral describes it as "partial 16S ribosomal RNA". It matches the Rfam family "Bacterial small subunit ribosomal RNA", at positions 30 to 523 of the family's 1533-position model. The record is from RNAcentral.